GCCCCGGUAGCUCAGGCUGGUUAGAGCAUCUGCUUGGUAAGCAGAAGGUCGCGGGUUCAAGUCCCGCCCGGGGCUCCA
RNAcentral lists this transfer RNA (78 nucleotides) under Thermoprotei archaeon. RNAcentral describes it as "tRNA-Thr". It matches the Rfam family "tRNA". From Rfam's summary of the family: Transfer RNA (tRNA) molecules are approximately 80 nucleotides in length. Their secondary structure includes four short double-helical elements and three loops (D, anti-codon, and T loops). The record is from RNAcentral. Lineage: Archaea; Thermoproteati; Thermoproteota; Thermoprotei.